RNAcentral lists this ribosomal RNA (444 nucleotides) under uncultured bacterium. Its description in RNAcentral is "SSU rRNA". It matches the Rfam family "Bacterial small subunit ribosomal RNA", at positions 26 to 518 of the family's 1533-position model. The record is from RNAcentral.
AGAAUGAACGCUGGCGGCAGGCCUAAAACAUGCAAGUCGAACGCUCUAGCAAUAGAGAGUGGCGCACGGGUGCGUAACAUGUGGGAAUAUGCCUUUUGGUACGGAACAACGUUUGGAAACGAACGCUAAUACCGUAUGGUCCCUUCGGGGUAAAGAUUUAUCGCCAAAAGAUUAGCCCGCACUGGAUUAGCUAGUUGGUGAGGUAAUGGCUCACCAAGGCGACGAUCCAUAGCUGGUCUGAGAGGACGAUCAGCCACACUGGGACUGAGACACGGCCCAGACUCCUACGGGAGGCAGCAGUUAGGAAUAUUGGACAAUGGGCGUAAGCCUGAUCCAGCCAUGCCGCGUGAGUGAUGAAGGCCUUCGGGUUGUAAAGCUCUUUAGCCGAUGAUUAUAAUGACUGUAGUCGGAAAUAAGCCCGGCUAACUUCGCGCCAGCAGCCGC